GAGUAUUUACUUGAAACCUUUAAUCAUGCCUCUCUAAGUCUUGUGUUGAUCUCUGUGUUUUGAGUCAGAAAAACUGCAAAUAGGCAUUGCAACCCUAUUUUCCUAUCUGUGUGACGAAAGCUUGAGACAAUCCUUCCUCCAAUCCUGACUAUCUCAUCUUAUUACACCUCAACUAAAUGAAUGAAGCGAUUGUUAGAGAAUAUAGAUAUCCUUGUGUGUCUCAUUAAACCUUUUAGAACAUUGUGAACUGAA
This is a long non-coding RNA of Etheostoma cragini (Arkansas darter), 252 nucleotides long. RefSeq lists it as uncharacterized. The record is from RefSeq and is a predicted model, not a curated record. NCBI's taxonomy places the organism in Eukaryota, Metazoa, Chordata, Actinopteri, Perciformes, Percidae. The transcript has 2 exons.